RNAcentral lists this ribosomal RNA (508 nucleotides) under uncultured bacterium. RNAcentral's name for it is "bacterial SSU rRNA". It matches the Rfam family "Bacterial small subunit ribosomal RNA", at positions 8 to 525 of the family's 1533-position model. The record is from RNAcentral.
AGGGUUCGAUUCUGGCUCAGGACGAACGCUGGCGGUGCGCCUUAUGCAUGCAAGUCGAGCGAAGCUUUUCAGUAGUUUACUACAGAAAAUGACUGAGCGGCGAACGGGUGAGUAACGCGUGAGCAAUCUACCUUAGUUACAGGGAUAGCCCGAGGAAACUCGGAUUAAUACCUGAUAUUCUUUAUUUCUCGCAUGAGAAUAAAAGGAAAGGUCAGCCGAACUAAGAUGAGCUCGCGUUCUAUCAGCUUGUUGGUGAGGUAAAAGCUUACCAAGGCUACGACGGAUAGCUGGUCUGAGAGGACGAUCAGCCACACUGGGACUGAGACACGGCCCAGACUCCUACGGGAGGCUGCAGCAGGGAAUAUUGUGCAAUGAACGAAAGUUUGACACAGCGACACCGCGUGUGGGAUGACGGAUCUAGGUUUGUAAACCACUUUCAGGAGGGAAGAAAAUGACGGUACCUCCACAAGAAGCCCCGGCCAACUACGUGCCAGCCGCCGCGGUAAUA